This 697-nucleotide ribosomal RNA is filed under the name uncultured bacterium. Its description in RNAcentral is "bacterial SSU rRNA". It matches the Rfam family "Bacterial small subunit ribosomal RNA", at positions 94 to 809 of the family's 1533-position model. The record is from RNAcentral.
UGUGGCGCACGGGUGAGUAACGCGUAGACAAUCUGCCCUUCAGUCUGGGACAACUUUUCGAAAGGAGAGCUAAUACCGGAUAACAAUGUUUAACAUAAGUUAAGUGUUUGAAAGCUUUAUGUGCUGAAGGAGGGGUCUGCGUCCCAUUAGCUAGUUGGUAAGGUAAAGGCUUACCAAGGCAACGAUGGGUAGCGGGUUUGAGAGGACGAUCCGCCACACUGGAACUGAGACACGGUCCAGACUCCUACGGGAGGCAGCAGUGGGGAAUAUUGCACAAUGGAGGAAACUCUGAUGCAGCAAUGUCGCGUGAGUGAAGAAGGCCCUUGGGUCGUAAAGCUCUUUUAUGGGGGAAGAUGAUGACGGUACCCCAAGAAUAAGCACCGGCUAACUAUGUGCCAGCAGCCGCGGUAAUACAUAGGGUGCGAGCGUUGUUCGGAAUUACUGGGCGUAAAGGGCGCGCAGGCGGAAUAGUAAGUCGGAGGUGAAAGCCCGGGGCUCAACCCCGGAGGGUCUUUCGAAACUGCUAAUCUAGAGAGGGUCAGGGGCCGGCAGAAUUCCUGGUGUAGAGGUGAAAUUCGUAGAUAUCAGGAGGAAUACCGGUGGCGAAGGCGGCCGGCUGGGGCCACUCUGACGCUGAGGCGCGAAAGCGUGGGGAGCAAACAGGAUUAGAUACCCUGGUAGUCCACGCCGUAAACGG